GCCGGAAUGGCGGAAUUGGUAGACGCACGGGACUUAAAAUCCCGCGGGACUAACCUCUCGUACCGGUUCAAGCCCGGUUUCCGGCA
RNAcentral lists this transfer RNA (86 nucleotides) under Clostridia bacterium. RNAcentral describes it as "tRNA-Leu". It matches the Rfam family "tRNA". Rfam says of the family: Transfer RNA (tRNA) molecules are approximately 80 nucleotides in length. Their secondary structure includes four short double-helical elements and three loops (D, anti-codon, and T loops). Further hydrogen bonds mediate the characteristic L-shaped molecular structure. tRNAs have two regions of fundamental functional importance: the anti-codon, which is responsible for specific mRNA codon recognition, and the 3' end, to which the tRNAs corresponding amino acid is attached (by aminoacyl-tRNA synthetases). tRNAs cope with the degeneracy of the genetic code in two manners: having more than one tRNA (with a specific anti-codon) for a particular amino acid; and 'wobble' base-pairing, i.e. permitting non-standard base-pairing at the 3rd anti-codon position. Lineage: Bacteria; Bacillati; Bacillota; Clostridia. The record is from RNAcentral.